RNAcentral lists this ribosomal RNA (508 nucleotides) under uncultured bacterium. RNAcentral's name for it is "partial 16S ribosomal RNA". It matches the Rfam family "Bacterial small subunit ribosomal RNA", at positions 28 to 507 of the family's 1533-position model. The record is from RNAcentral.
GACGAACGCUGGCGGCGUGCCUAAUACAUGCAAGUCGAACGCUUCUUUCCUCCCGAGUGCUUGCACUCAAUUGGAAAGAGGAGUGGCGGACGGGUGAGUAACACGUGGGUAACCUACCCAUCAGAGGGGGAUAACACUUGGAAACAGGUGCUAAUACCGCAUAACAGUUUAUGCCGCAUGGCAUAAGAGUGAAAGGCGCUUUCGGGUGUCGCUGAUGGAUGGACCCGCGGUGCAUUAGCUAGUUGGUGAGGUAACGGCUCACCAAGGCCACGAUGCAUAGCCGACCUGAGAGGGUGAUCGGCCACCCUGGGACUGAGACACGGCCCAGACUCCUACGGGAGGCAGCAGUAGGGAAUCUUCGGCAAUGGACGAAAGUCUGACCGAGCAACGCCGCGUGAGUGAAGAAGGUUUUCGGAUCGUAAAACUCUGUUGUUAGAGAAGAACAAGGACGUUAGUAACUGAACGUCCCCUGACGGUAUCUAACCAGAAAGCCACGGCUAACUACGUG